This 403-nucleotide ribosomal RNA is filed under the name uncultured bacterium. RNAcentral describes it as "bacterial SSU rRNA". It matches the Rfam family "Bacterial small subunit ribosomal RNA", at positions 122 to 518 of the family's 1533-position model. The record is from RNAcentral.
CAACCUACCUAUCAGGAGGGGAACUAACCCGGCGAAAGUCGGACUAAUACCGCAUAAAACAGGGGCACCGCAUGGUGAUAUUUGUUAAAGAAAUUCGCUGAUAGAUGGGCAUGCGUUCCAUUAGGUAGUUGGUGAGGUAACGGCUCACCAAGCCGACGAUGGAUAGGGGAACUGAGAGGUUGGUCCCCCACACUGGUACUGAGACACGGACCAGACUCCUACGGGAGGCAGCAGUGAGGAAUAUUGGUCAAUGGGCGGGAGCCUGAACCAGCCAAGUCGCGUGAAAAGGAAGAAGGAUCUAUGGUUACGUAAACUUCUUUUGCAGGGGAAUAAAGUGCAGGACGUGUCCUGUUUUGUAUGUACCCUGAGAAUAAGGAUCGGCUAACUCCGUGCCAGCAGCGGC